AUCACAGUCAACGUGACCCAACUUAACCUUCCCCUUCAAGCUAUUAGCAGCCUUCUUCCACUCAGGAGCUAAUUUUUUACAAUGUCCACACCUUGAAAAGUAUAUUAUGCAUAAUUUUAUCAGCAAAUUUGCAAAAUGAACAUUUAAGGAAGAAUACAAAAGUUAUGCAAAGUCAAGUAUCCAUGCAACUUAUGCUUAAACCUUAUCUUUUGGAAUUCAAUUCAUAACACUCAACCAACUUAAGAUCUGGAUAUAAAAUGCCACAUAAAGUCAACAUAAUGAAUUGUAUUGUGAAAGAUUGACUACUCAUACAGCUUGCAUUUGUCUUAGAAUUAUAGACUAGAGAAACCACCAUCUAUUGCCAGUGUCAAAAUAAUCAACAUAGUGGUUGAAUCACAUAUGCGAAUGCCAAGAGAUUGUUCUGGAUUUCCCUUUGCCCGUUAUUCUUCAAUAAUUAAAAAGAUUAGUUUCAAGUCCAAAUUACUUCAUUUGGAAUAUGGAUUCUCUUCAUUUUUAUUGAUUUGAUCAUCCUCUAAGUGCCAUAAUGUGAAUACUCAUAUUCAUCUUUUAUAUGGAGAAAUGGAAUAAUAACCAUGCUAAUUUCAUGCAACAUAUAUGACAAUCAUAUCUAGUGCCACAAAGUUUAAUAAAUUUGAUGCAAUGCAAGCAAGGCAUGUAUGUGUUUUCAGAUAGGCAAAUGGAUGGGCAUUCAUAAUACAUAUAGAUUAUACGAAUAUCACUCCAUUGAGGGAUGCUGUUAUGCAAAUAAUCAUAAAAAAAAAAUUAAACUUUUUACACUUAUUUCAUCCUGUAAAUUAAAUUUUAAUUCGUAAGAUAUUGAUUUUAUUCCAAUUUUAUCUAAUGGGUUUGGGUUGUGUAUCACGCCAAUAUGAUGCCAAGAUGUAUGGAAGGCAUAUACAUAGACAUAACUUACUGACUUGGGAGUGGAACCCACUUGAGCCCUAAAAGCCACCAAAUGGUGGCAUUUUGCAAAAUUCUCCUCCCUAUAAAGCUGCUUGAUAGUAUGAAAAAUACCACUUUUGGUGAAUCUUAAGGCUCAAGAGGGGGUCACAUUAUCUGAGUUAUCAAUUUUUGUCCAGGUUGGGAGUUUACCACAACCCCACAACAAAAUAGGCACAUGAGCCUAGACUCAUUAAAUAAAAUUAAAACAAAAUUAGUAACUUAUGAACUAAGUUCAUAAAUAUUAAAAGCAUAUGAUAGAAUUGAAAAAGUGCGAAAAGUUCAGGUUUUAUUGGAUCACUGGGCCUAUGUUUAGCUAAUUAUACAUGUGUUCUGGUUCUUCCUUGAAUUAAUACUUUUUUUAAAACAAAUUUUAUAUGAGCCAGAACUGUAAAUUAUAGAUACAUGUAGGAUUUAUUGGUCAACUGUUACUCAAACUGCCUCUUAUUUUUUUCUGAAUUCUUUUCCGUUCUUUAAUAAUGCUGUAUAAAUGUUACUAACAUACAUUCAGGUUUGGCAGUAAAAUGCUGUAUGAUCUUAAUAUGUGCCGUGUGGAGUCUGUAUGAUCUUUAGGUAUCUCCUUGCUCAGAGUGCAGCGGGAAGGGCAAGACCGUUACUGAUUACUGCCAAAAGUGUGGUGGCAAUGGUAAAGUAAGUUCAAAGCGAAGUAUGAAAGUGGUAAUUCCACCUGGCAUCAGUAAUGGAGCUAUGAUGCAAAUUCAAGGGGAGGGUAAUUUUGACAAGAAAAGGUGCAUGACUCGGUUUUGAAUGAAGAUUUUCUGUCCAUGGAACUUGUUUCACUCUUGCUGAUAUAGUUCUCGCACAUGGAUAUGUGAAGCUUGGAUUUGUGUCUUUAUUUUUCUUGAUCUUUCUUUUUCCCCCACUUGGUGCAUGUGAAGCUUGGCUUUGUGUCUUUAUUUUUCUUGAUCUUUCUUUUUCCCCCACUUGGUGCAUGUGAAGCUUGGCUUUGUGUCUUUAUUUUUCUUGAUCUUUUCUUUUCCCCUACUUGGUGUUCUGUUAGCAGCUUUAAUAUUGAGUGAUGAAAUUAUGAAAAGAAUAUAGGAUUCAGACCCUACAUUAUAGGAAUGAUUUCUUCUUGAUUGCCAAUUUCUUAUUUGGCAAAAACAUUGGUUAUUUCUUAGGCAAGUGCUAAAUAUGAAAAUAAAUUUGCUGC
Molecule: unclassified non-coding RNA, 2134 nt
Filed under: Hevea brasiliensis (rubber tree)
Lineage: Eukaryota; Viridiplantae; Streptophyta; Magnoliopsida; Malpighiales; Euphorbiaceae
Source: RNAcentral